This 468-nucleotide ribosomal RNA is filed under the name uncultured bacterium. RNAcentral's name for it is "partial 16S ribosomal RNA". It matches the Rfam family "Bacterial small subunit ribosomal RNA", at positions 28 to 507 of the family's 1533-position model. The record is from RNAcentral.
GACGAACGCUGGCGGCGUGCUUAACACAUGCAAUUCGAACGGAAAGGCCCUGCUUUUGUGGGGUGCUCGAGUGGCGAACGGGUUAGUAACACGUUAGUAACCUUCCCUUUACUUUUGGAUAACUUCAGGAAACUGGGGCUUAUACCGGAUAGGUGCUCCUGCUGCAUGGUGUGGGUUGUAAAGUUUCGGCGGUUGGGGAUGGACUCGAGGCUUAUCAGCUUGUUGGUGGGUUAGUGGCUUACCAAGGCUUUGACGGGUAGCCGGCCUGAGAGGGUGACCGGCCACAUUGGGACUGAGAUACGGCCCAGACUCCUACGGGAGGCAGCAGUGGGGAAUAUUGCACAAUGGGCGGAAGCCUGAUGCAGCAACGCCGCGUGCGGGAUGACGGCCUUCGGGUUGUAAACCGCUUUCGCCUGUGACGAAGCGUGAGUGACGGUAAUGGGUAAAGAAGCACCGGCUAACUACGUG